Molecule: long non-coding RNA, 924 nt
Organism: Hippocampus zosterae (dwarf seahorse)
Lineage: Eukaryota; Metazoa; Chordata; Actinopteri; Syngnathiformes; Syngnathidae
Exons: 2
Source: RefSeq, a predicted model, not a curated record
ACGGCGAGCACAUGUCAGCGAUUUGCUGGAAUCAUCUCGUAAUGACUACGGCGAAAACGAUGAACUGGAGAGCGAUUUGGAUCCCGAUAUGUCGGACGAAUACGUGCCUUCGGACAUAACGGAAAGCAGCUGAGAGUCCUCACCAGAGCCGCUGGAACGAGGAGGUAACUGCUGACUAGCUUGCAAGUUCCCAUUCAAAACUUCAUCAUUUCUUAUGCCUCAUCAGUCACUUUUAUGUACCACUACAUUCUCCGCUAUACUAUAAAGUUGCCAGUAACACUAAUCAUUUAUGUACGGUUGAUGCGUCUUGUAGAUGUGGAUGAAAAUAUGCGCCGUAAAUGUGCUGACUUGCAUGUCGUCAUAGGUUUUAAAAAAACAAAACAAAAAAAAACAUGACACAUUUGGUCCGCUUCGCUCUGCUAAAACCACUAGUGUUAAAUUCAUAUUCCAUUUCAUGUCAAAUUGGAUGCUGAGCAACGUGGAACGAAUGGUGUAAAUAGCAGUGUGCGAGCAUGUGUGUGUGUGUGAGAUGUUGAAAUGUAAGUGGAAAGCAACAAUAAAAAAAUAGAAAAAUAAAAGUGUGGUAAUUGUACAUACUUCUAUAAAUUACAGAUUGUCCAACCAGAAGCCAAAAGAUGACGACUCUUCGCUUUGGUGGUGGAAAGAAAGGUCGUGCAUCUGGACGUGGUGGGAUGAAUCGAUGUGGUGACAAACUGGAUGGAAGCCAAAAACCAUCUUCUCCACAGCUGCACUUUUGUUCAUAGUUCAAUAGUUUUGUUGUGUGCAAAUAAAUUAUUUUGCUAUAAAAACAUUUGUAAUGUUCUUUUGUAGGAGGAACACAUUAUUGAGGUAUUUGAGCUGUCACAAAAGCAAAAAAUAGUGUAAAACUUGAAAUGAUGCUUGAAAUGCAUGCUUUUACAAAAA